RNAcentral lists this small RNA (201 nucleotides) under Vigna angularis var. angularis. RNAcentral describes it as "Non-protein coding transcript". Lineage: Eukaryota; Viridiplantae; Streptophyta; Magnoliopsida; Fabales; Fabaceae. The record is from RNAcentral.
CACAAACUAGAAUUGAUAGUUGUUACAUGGACUAUACAGUAGGUGAUGGUGUACCUUUGGAGCAAGCUUUGGAAGUUGAGGAAGACCCAACAUCUAGUGCUUAGGAUUUCUACUAGCUCUUGUGUUAUAUAGCUCUUCAUUUUGAAAGACUUUUAGACUUCAUUUUAUCAUGAUCCGUCAUUUCGGGAAACUUUUUAGGUC